AUGCCCAACUCUGAACCCCAUGACUGGUGUCCUUGGAGCUGGCAGAGAUCAUUUUGCUCUGAAGACUACAGACUGGCAGGAGAGCAUCACCUUCUUUCAAGGCUUCGCCUCCUCUGGUGUCGACAGCUUGUGCACCAGCAUGUCAUUGAAGCCACAUUUGCAGAAGAGAGCGCAAUGAGCAGAGCCAGAGCUGAGGGCUGCCUCCCUGCUGCAGGGAUCCUCCUCAGGCCAGGACGGCUUUCAAUCACUCUACCCCUGGACCAGGAAAGCAAGCACCAUGUCUACCCCAGGACAUGGUUCCUUUCAGUUCUGACAUGACUUUUUCUGGAGUCAUUAAAAAUACCAAAUGUGGUUCAAUGCAGCAGUACAGUCAAUGGCAACUGCAUUCCCCUGGUUGCUCAAAGCGAGACCUGGGAACCCUUCUUGACUCCUUCAUUCCCUCACUCCACCCCACAUCCAAUCCAUCAUCCAACCCUGUGAGCACUACUGCAAAAUACCCCUGGAAUCUGACCCCGUCUCACUUCAUCCACAGUGUCCGCUGGGGCUAAGUUAUCCUCAUCUUCCAUCAAAAUACUUCAAUGGUCUCCAACCCGGUCUCCUCCUACUUGCUGCUCUAUCAUCUCAUCUACAGAGAAGCCAGAGUGAUCUUUUCAAAAUAGUAAGUUAUAUCAUGUCACCCCUCAGCUCAAUAAUCCUCCAGUGGUUCCCCUAUCACGCCAAAGAAAAGGCAAAAGACCUAACAAUUGCUGAGGUGACCCUACAUAUUCCAGCUUGUCACCUCUUCAGUCUCAUCCCCUACCUCUCUCCCCUGACUCACUCUGCUUCAGCCAGACUGGCUUCUUGCUGCAUCCCCAAAACAUCGGGUAUGCCUGUGUCUUAAGGCUUACAUAGGUGCUAUUCCCUCAGCCUGCCAUCCCCUUCGUGCCAAUAUCUUCUUCGUUCAUUCCCUUUGUCCAAAAGUAAUGUUAUCAGAGAGAAGUUGCAUAACCAUCCUCAUGAAAAUAUACCUAGUCUAUCUUUAAGGAACUGACUUUGCUUUAUUUUUCAUAGCACUUACCAUUACCUAAACUAUUUAAGCAUUUGUUUACACAUCAAUUUUUUCCCCUCCUAGAAUAAAAGUUCUAUGAUAGAAAGGUUGUACA
This 1142-nucleotide long non-coding RNA is filed under the name Sus scrofa (pig). RNAcentral describes it as "lncRNA (ENSSSCG00015071263.1)". The record is from RNAcentral. Lineage: Eukaryota; Metazoa; Chordata; Mammalia; Artiodactyla; Suidae.